UGAAAUAUCAUUGUGACUUUUUAUUUUUUUGAAGAUUCCAUCUAUUUAUUCAUGAGAGACACAGAGAGAGAGGCAGAUACACAGGCAGAGGCAGAGGGAGAAGCAGGCUCCAUGCAGGGAUCCCGAUGUGGGACUCGAUCCCGGAUCCCCAGGAUCACACCCCGGGCUGAAGGCAGGUGCUAAACCGCUGAGCCACCCAAGGAUCCCCAUGUUUCCAAGAUCAUUCUUGUUGGUGGUAGAAAUCAGUGUCUUCAAAUGGCUAUUAGAACCAAGAAGAGCACUCUCGGCUCCAAGAGACUGUCCACAUUCCUGGCCACACGGGCCCCUCCAUCUUCAAGCCAGCAGUGGCAUGUUGAGCCUCAUUCUUUGAAUUGGUGACUUUUCUGUCUGUGAUGUAAGGAUCCAGCUUCACGGGGCUCAUGUGAUUCGGUGAGGCCCACCGGGAUAAUCUCCAUCUCCUCAGGUCAACUGAUUUGGGACCUUAAUUCCUUCUGCAUAAUCUUUUCUUAGUGGUACCUAGAUUAGUGUUUGUGUAACUGGGAAAGAUUGUACGGAUGGCAGGAGCUGGGAAUCUCAGGUGGGGUGGGGAAGGGAGAGUGUUUUAGAACUCUGCUUCUCAUAAUGCUUUUGACACGAAUGCUAGGAUAUGUCUUUUGCUGAGACGGCUUCAAAAUGUUUUAAUGCACCAGCCAUGCACAAAGUUCCAGCUUUAUGGCUAACACUGGCUAACAACUGUUAAAGUAUGAUAGCAUUCUGCAAAUUCAUUGACACUGUUCAUGCUGACUCUUGUCGCUGAUCAUUGAAUUGAAGGCUCCUGUUGGUUUCAGGAGCUCCUAGCAUGUGGACCAGGACCUUGCUGAACCUUGACAAAGUGUUAAAUUGUACUUUUAUGUCCUCGUUUGAUUCCGUGGCUCUUUUGAAAGGAAUACCCUUCUGAUGUGCCCAAUAAAAUCCUCUUUGAUGUGCCAAAUAUGGACAAUUGAACUUUUAAGGAAUUUGAAGCACAGAAAGGAGCCCCACAGAUCCCACAGCCGGUCCUGCCUGUGCGAACCUUGGACUUCAGCUCUUACACACAAAGUACCCCGGCAAGUGACUUCAUUUCUCUGUCAGUCUUCUUGGUUUCUUAGGUGAGUCCAGUGGCAUCGUGCUGGGAAAUCAGUAGGCACAGUGCCUGGCAGGCAUGCGGCAGGCACUCAACAGGUGCCUGUGAGGGUUAUUAGGGCUUCUCGCCUUCUCUCCUCCCUCGAGCUGGUUCCCUCUGGCUCAUCUGGGUCAAAGGGAACACGAGUCAUUCAAAAGUGUGACUUGCUCACUGUUGGCUCCUCCCACUUCCACUCCCCACAUCCAUCAGCUCCUUUUUAUUCUGUAUUUGAAAUGUUUAUUAAAUCUUUCUUCUCCUUACCUCUCUGCUGCCACUGUGCAGAUUCCACUUACACAGG
RNAcentral lists this long non-coding RNA (1439 nucleotides) under Canis lupus familiaris (dog). RNAcentral describes it as "lncRNA (ENSCAFG00040025140.1)". Lineage: Eukaryota; Metazoa; Chordata; Mammalia; Carnivora; Canidae. The record is from RNAcentral.